GUGUCAGCCGCCGCGGUAAAACGUAGGGGGCGAGCGUUAUCCGGAAUCACUGGGCGUAAAGGGCGUCUAGGCGGUCCAGUAAGUCCUGCGUGAAAGCUCCCGGCUCAACUGGGAGAGCGCGUGGGAGACUGUUGGGCUAGAGACUCGGAGAGGGGUGUGGAAUUCCCGGUGGAGUGGUGAAAUGCGUUGAGAUCGGGAGGAACACCAGUGGCGAAGGCGGCACCCUGGCCGAGUUCUGACGCUGAAGCGCGACAGCGUGGGGAGCAAACGGGAUUAGAAACCCGCGUAGUCC
This 292-nucleotide ribosomal RNA is filed under the name uncultured bacterium. RNAcentral describes it as "partial 16S ribosomal RNA". It matches the Rfam family "Bacterial small subunit ribosomal RNA", at positions 505 to 796 of the family's 1533-position model. The record is from RNAcentral.